AGUCUAAUAAGGAUGCCCUCCUCUCUUCAUGUCUCCUUGUCUCAUUUACUUCAUCUGUUAUAGAUGUGAAAGAGGAGGACUGGUGAAAACAAAUACAACAAAUAACAGGUGUUGCUACAGUUUCUGCAUUCACCAUCAUGCUUUCACCUAUAUGCUCUCACACCAGUUCAGAUGGAGAGGAGACGAGGUUAGAUAGAUGGAUGAAGGAGAGGAGACGAGGUUAGAUAGAUGGAUGAAGGAGAGGAGACGAGGUCGGAUAGAUGGAUUAAGGAGAGGAGACGAGGUCAGAUAGAUGGAUUAAGGAGAGGAGACGAGGUCAGAUAGAUGGAUUAAGGAGAGGAGACGAGGUCAGAUAGAUGGAUGAAGGAGAGGAGACGAGGUCAGAUAGAUGGAUGAAGGAGAGGAGACGAGGUCAGAUAGAUGGAAGAAGGAGAGGAGACGAGGUCAGAUAGAUGGAAGAAGGAGAGGAGACGAGGUCAGAUAGAUGGAUGAAGGAGAGGAGACGAGGUCAGAUAGAUGGAAGAAGGAGAGGAGACGAGGUCCGAUAGAUGGAUUAAGGAGAGGAGACGAGAAGAGGUCAGAUAGAUGGAAGAAGAAGAGGAGACGAGGUCAGAUAGAUGGAUUAAGAAGAGGAGAUGAUGCCAGGAGAGUAAACCACACUACCACACUAUGCUUGCCCACGUGCAUCCCUGCUAAGACCAGGCCAAAG
This 709-nucleotide long non-coding RNA is filed under the name Salmo salar (Atlantic salmon). Its description in RNAcentral is "lncRNA (ENSSSAG00000103352.1)". Lineage: Eukaryota; Metazoa; Chordata; Actinopteri; Salmoniformes; Salmonidae. The record is from RNAcentral.